RNAcentral lists this ribosomal RNA (422 nucleotides) under uncultured bacterium. RNAcentral describes it as "partial 16S ribosomal RNA". It matches the Rfam family "Bacterial small subunit ribosomal RNA", at positions 361 to 775 of the family's 1533-position model. The record is from RNAcentral.
AUUUUGGACCAUGGAGGAACCCCUGAUCCAGCCAUCCCGCGCGCAUGAUGAAGGCCUUCGCAUCGUCCAGUACUUUUGGCAGAGACGACCAGGUUCCUCCUACUACGAGGUACUGCUGACGGUAUCUCCAGAAUAAUCGCCGGCUAACUCCGUGCCAGCAGCCGCGGUAAUACGGAGGGUGCAGGCGUUAAUCGGAAUUCCUGGGAGUAAAGCGUGUGUAGGCGGUUCUGAAAGAAAGAUGUGAGAUCCCAGGGCUCAACCGUGGAACUGCAUUUAUGACUGCCGAGCUAGAAUAUGUCAGAGGUGGGUAGAAGUCCACGUGUAGCAGUGAAAUGAGUAGAUAUGUGGAGGAAUACCGAUGGCGAAGGCAGCACCCUGGGAUAAUUCUGACGCUCAGACACGAAAGCGUGGGAAGCAAACAG